UACGAAGGUGGCAAGCGUUGUUCGGAUUUACUGGGCGUACAGGGAGCGUAGGCGGUUUGGUAAGCCCUCCGGGAAAUCUUCGGGCUUAACCCGGAAAGGUCGGAGGGGACUGCCAGGCUAGAGGACGGGAGAGGAGCGCGGAAUUCCCGGUGUAGCGGUGAAAUGCGUAGAGAUCGGGAGGAAGGCCGGUGGCGAAGGCGGCGCUCUGGAACGAUCCUGACGCUGAGGCUCGAAAGCGUGGGGAGCAAACAGGAUUAGAUACCCUGGUAGUCCACGCCCUAAACGAUGGACACUAAGUGUCGGCGGGUUACCGUCGGUGCCGCAGCUAACGCAGUAAGUGUCCCGCCUGGGGAGUACGGCCGCAAGGUUGAA
Molecule: ribosomal RNA, 372 nt
Filed under: uncultured bacterium
Lineage: Bacteria
Description: bacterial SSU rRNA
Rfam family: Bacterial small subunit ribosomal RNA
Source: RNAcentral